UUGGGAAAGCGAGCGGCGGAUGGGUGAGUAACACGUGGGGAACCUGCCCCUAAGUCUGGGAUACCAUUUGGAAACAGGUGCUAAUACCGGAUAAUAAAGCAGAUCGCAUGAUCAGCUUUUGAAAGGCGGCGUAAGCUGUCGCUAAGGGAUGGCCCCGCGGUGCAUUAGCUAGUUGGUAAGGUAACGGCUUACCAAGGCGACGAUGCAUAGCCGAGUUGAGAGACUGAUCGGCCACAUUGGGACUGAGACACGGCCCAAACUCCUACGGGAGGCAGCAGUAGGGAAUCUUCCACAAUGGACGCAAGUCUGAUGGAGCAACGCCGCGUGAGUGAAGAAGGUUUUCGGAUCGUAAAGCUCUGUUGUUGGUGAAGAAGGAUAGAGGUAGUAACUGGCCUUUAUUUGACGGUAAUCAACCAGAAAGUCACGGCUAACUACGUGCCAGCAGCCGCGGUAAUACGUAGGUGGCAAGCGUUGUCCGGAUUUAUUGGGCGUAAAGCGAGCGCAGGCGGAAAAAUAAGUCUAAUGUGAAAGCCCUCGGCUUAACCGAGGAACUGCAUCGGAAACUGUUUUUCUUGAGUGCAGAAGAGGAGAGUGGAACUCCAUGUGUAGCGGUGGAAUGCGUAGAUAUAUGGAAGAACACCAGUGGCGAAGGCGGCUCUCUGGUCUGCAACUGACGCUGAGGCUCGAAAGCAUGGGUAGCGAACAGGAUUAGAUACCCUGGUAGUCCAUGCCGUAAACGAUGAGUGCUAAGUGUUGGGAGGUUUCCGCCUCUCAGUGCUGCAGCUAACGCAUUAAGCACUCCGCCUGGGGAGUACGACCGCAAGGUUUGAAACUCAAAGGAAUUGACGGGGGGCCCCGCACAAGC
RNAcentral lists this ribosomal RNA (865 nucleotides) under uncultured bacterium. Its description in RNAcentral is "bacterial SSU rRNA". It matches the Rfam family "Bacterial small subunit ribosomal RNA", at positions 83 to 930 of the family's 1533-position model. The record is from RNAcentral.